Molecule: long non-coding RNA, 1459 nt
Organism: Hemicordylus capensis (graceful crag lizard)
Lineage: Eukaryota; Metazoa; Chordata; Lepidosauria; Squamata; Cordylidae
Exons: 3
Source: RefSeq, a predicted model, not a curated record
AAAUUACAGUUGGUCCAGAAUGCGGCAGCCAGAUGGUAUUGCUGUACAACAGAUAGAGACAUAAGAAUUAUUUCAGCACCAAUAAAAAUGAAAUGAACCAUGUUUAGUAAGAGUGUGCUAACCUGUGCAGUUCAGCCCAAAGCAAAUUGCAACAACUUAUUCGACACUCAACAUCAAUAUCCAGUGGAGUGCGCGCCUGUAUGCCCCGCCUCUGGACUGACAGCUCUUUAACCACACCCCUUGCUCUCCACAGUUACAUUUUACAAUUACACAUCCUUGUUCUCCACAAUUACAGCCCUUUGUUCUUCACAGUUACAUACAAAUACUUGUGGAAAGAUUCUUCCUGUAAUAGAACACUGGGUUGCCCCAGCAUUCUAAUCAUAGGAAGAAUGUCUCCAUGAGUACAGCAUUUGUCUCAUCAGACAAAUAUAGUGAUCGUGGAGAUCGUGGGUAUGGAGUUUUAGCACAUGACAUAGUGGGGCAGGGAUUGCUGGCCUGUUCUCUGGGGCUCACUCUGUAUAGCAUCCCCACUUUCAUAAUGCCUGGAUUGGGCUCUAGUUAAGCCCAAUAGUGUGGACUACCAGAUGGAACUCAUCCAUAUAUUGAGCCUCCUAGGACUUGACAAUUCACAUGUUUUUGCUGUCCUAGGCAAGGCAACAACAUGACAUUUAUGAAGCCUCGGGUGAGUUGUUGCACAUGGUUAGUAAACAAUGUUUGGCUUGGUGGACCACAAAUUAUGCAAGGCAUGGACUAGCUGGCUUUUCAGCCAGCUAAUAUGCAGCCACCUCAGUCUUCCCUCAAGAAAUAUCUUCAACCAGAUCCUGGAUUUCCCUCUACACCACCCACCGCCCUGCAUCCUUGCAGGUUCUCCCUUAUCCAGCAUCACUUCUGCCUGCCUGUCUGUGCAGGCAUGGCCUAGCUGCAAAGCUAGCUCACAACCAGUCUGGAGACUGGCUCAGCAGACCUCGCUCAGUCCUCUUAAUUGCUUAGGACUUUGCUUCCCUAGGCAGAUUUAUACUAGAUUCUAUCCCCCACCCCCCAUUGUGUCUAGGCUGAGUCAUGGCUUUUUGCUGCUAUCAAAAAUUGCAGCUCCAUAACCCACUAGUAAGAGUGACUUUAUUUUCAUCUUCAAAGCCAAGCCUCAUGCUUGAACCUCAGCAGGAAAGAGACUUUAAUUCAUACUGGAUGACUGUUUCACUAAAAAGCAAAAUACUGCCCUGAGGCUGUUAAGGUGUGCCCUCCCCUCUUUCUCCUCUUAUGAAGCAUGCAUUUCUUAGUGCUGCUUGUGUGUGUGUGUGUUUUGCACACGGGUGUCAGCUUCUUCUCUUGCUGCUGCUGCUGCUGUUUGUCUUUGGAGCUCAUUAAUUGGUUUCAAGUUCCAGCUUGCCGGAGACCUGAGUGUAAAAAUUUCAGUCACAACAAAACAUUGUAAGUAUGAUUUGGCAAGCAAAUAUUCAUU